GUUGGCUUGGAAGCAGCCAUUCAUUUAAAGAGUGCGUAACAGCUCACUAGUCGAGGAGUCGGGCGUGGAUAAUAAUCGGGUAUCAAGUUGUCUACCGAAGCAGUGGGAUCAUUUAUAUGAUCGGUAGGGGAGCAUUCCAGUCAGCGUCGAAGGCGUACCGUGAGGUAUUCUGGAGCGUCUGGAAAAGCAAAUGUAGGUAUAAGUAACGAUAAAGGGGGCGGGAAACCCCCUCGCCGAAAGACUAAGGUUUCCUGAUCAACGCUAAUCGGAUCAGGGUCAGUCGGGUCCUAAGGCUCAGCCGAACGGCGAUGCCGAUGGCAGAAACGGUUAAUAUUCCGUUACUACCUUCAGGAGUGACGUGGAGACGCAGUAGUGACAGUGCCGCCAUCUGACGGAAUAGAUGGUUGAAGGGUGUAGGAGUCGAUCAUGGCAGGCAAAUCCACCAUGAGAUCCGAACCUGACAGUAUGCCGCGUCCUUCGGGACAAGGCAAUAGUGCGCGUAAGCAUGCUGCCGAGAAAAUCCGCUAAACUUAAUCCUGUAGGUACCCGUACCGCAAACGGACACACGUAGUCGGGAUGAAUAUUCUAAGGCGCUUGAGUGAUUCACGGUUAAGGAACUAGGCAAACUGACCCUGUAACUUCGGGAUAAAGGGUCCCUACCCUUUUAUGGGAGGGCGCAGAGAAUCGGUCCAGGCAACUGUUUAACAAAAACACAGGGCUGUGCCAAAUCGAAAGAUCCAGUAUACAGCCUGACACCUGCCCGGUGCUGGAAGGUUAAGAGGAGAUGUCAUCGAUAAGAGAAGCGUUGAAUUGAAGCCCCAGUAAACGGCGGCCGUAACUAUAACGGUCCUAAGGUAGCGAAAUUCCUUGUCGGGUAAGUUCCGACCUGCACGAAUGGUGUAAUGAUCUGGACGCUGUCUCAACCGUGAGCUCAGUGAAAUUGUAGUAUCGGUGAAGAUGCCGAUUACCCGCGAUGGGACGAAAAGACCCCGUGAACCUUUACUAUAGCUUAUCAUUGAAUCUGGGCACGUGAUGUGUAGGAUAGGUCGGAGGCUUUGAAGCAGGUACGCCAGUAUUUGUGGAGCCGCUGUUGAAAUACGACCCUUUAUUUGUUUGGAUUCUAACCCGUGGAUACGGGGACAUUGAUUGGUGGGUAGUUUGACUGGGGUGGUCGCCUCCAAAAGCGUAACGGAGGCUUCUAAAGGUGCCCUCCGGCCGAUUGGUAACCGGCCUUAGAGUGUAAUGGCAUAAGGGCGCUUGACUGGGAGACUGACAAGUCGAUCAGGUAGGAAACUAGAGCAUAGUGAUCCGGUGUUUCCGUAUGGAAGGGACAUCGCUCAAAGGAUAAAAGGUACUCCGGGGAUAACAGGCUGAUCCCUCCCAAGAGCUCAUAUCGACGGAGUGGUUUGGCACCUCGAUGUCGGCUCGUCACAUCCUGGGGCUGGAGAAGGUCCCAAG
RNAcentral lists this ribosomal RNA (1458 nucleotides) under human gut metagenome. RNAcentral describes it as "bacterial LSU rRNA". It matches the Rfam family "Bacterial large subunit ribosomal RNA", at positions 1100 to 2569 of the family's 2925-position model. The record is from RNAcentral.